Molecule: ribosomal RNA, 1394 nt
Filed under: Staphylococcus aureus
Lineage: Bacteria; Bacillati; Bacillota; Bacilli; Caryophanales; Staphylococcaceae
Description: bacterial SSU rRNA
Rfam family: Bacterial small subunit ribosomal RNA
Source: RNAcentral
GCUAAUACCGGAUAAUAUUUUGAACCGCAUGGUUCAAAAGUGAAAGACGGUCUUGCUGUCACUUAUAGAUGGAUCCGCGCUGCAUUAGCUAGUUGGUAAGGUAACGGCUUACCAAGGCAACGAUGCAUAGCCGACCUGAGAGGGUGAUCGGCCACACUGGAACUGAGACACGGUCCAGACUCCUACGGGAGGCAGCAGUAGGGAAUCUUCCGCAAUGGGCGAAAGCCUGACGGAGCAACGCCGCGUGAGUGAUGAAGGUCUUCGGAUCGUAAAACUCUGUUAUUAGGGAAGAACAUAUGUGUAAGUAACUGUGCACAUCUUGACGGUACCUAAUCAGAAAGCCACGGCUAACUACGUGCCAGCAGCCGCGGUAAUACGUAGGUGGCAAGCGUUAUCCGGAAUUAUUGGGCGUAAAGCGCGCGUAGGCGGUUUUUUAAGUCUGAUGUGAAAGCCCACGGCUCAACCGUGGAGGGUCAUUGGAAACUGGAAAACUUGAGUGCAGAAGAGGAAAGUGGAAUUCCAUGUGUAGCGGUGAAAUGCGCAGAGAUAUGGAGGAACACCAGUGGCGAAGGCGACUUUCUGGUCUGUAACUGACGCUGAUGUGCGAAAGCGUGGGGAUCAAACAGGAUUAGAUACCCUGGUAGUCCACGCCGUAAACGAUGAGUGCUAAGUGUUAGGGGGUUUCCCGCCCCUUAGUGCUGCAGCUAACGCAUUAAGCACUCCGCCUGGGGAGUACGACCGCAAGGUUGAAACUCAAAGGAAUUGACGGGGACCCGCACAAGCGGUGGAGCAUGUGGUUUAAUUCGAAGCAACGCGAAGAACCUUACCAAAUCUUGACAUCCUUUGACAACUCUAGAGAUAGAGCCUUCCCCUUCGGGGGACAAAGUGACAGGUGGUGCAUGGUUGUCGUCAGCUCGUGUCGUGAGAUGUUGGGUUAAGUCCCGCAACGAGCGCAACCCUUAAGCUUAGUUGCCAUCAUUAAGUUGGGCACUCUAAGUUGACUGCCGGUGACAAACCGGAGGAAGGUGGGGAUGACGUCAAAUCAUCAUGCCCCUUAUGAUUUGGGCUACACACGUGCUACAAUGGACAAUACAAAGGGCAGCGAAACCGCGAGGUCAAGCAAAUCCCAUAAAGUUGUUCUCAGUUCGGAUUGUAGUCUGCAACUCGACUACAUGAAGCUGGAAUCGCUAGUAAUCGUAGAUCAGCAUGCUACGGUGAAUACGUUCCCGGGUCUUGUACACACCGCCCGUCACACCACGAGAGUUUGUAACACCCGAAGCCGGUGGAGUAACCUUUUAGGAGCUAGCCGUCGAAGGUGGGACAAAUGAUUGGGGUGAAGUCGUAACAAGGUAGCCGUAUCGGAAGGUGCGGCUGGAUCACCUCCUUUCUAAGGA